GACAGUGUCAGACCUCAGAGCUGAGACCUGAGACCGGACUGGCCUGGCCGGGAGCCCACCGCCUGCUUACCGAGAGCCCCGAGGACAUCUCACGAGAAAUCAUCUCGGCCGGACGUGAGGGGCGCGUUCCACGUGAGACUCACGUGUCGUUGGUGAAGAUGUAGGCGAUCACGUCCUUCGUAGUUGCGAUGAUGACGGCUACUAUCACCGAGACCGCAACUGCGAGGAAAGGACAGCGGUCAGGGGCUGGGACCCUACUGCAUUCCCGAACUGAAGGGGUGAAGACUUGGGCAAGAUCAGAGAAAUUGCUCUCCGGGUCCUUUUGCACCAGAGCGUGCUAAAAGUAAGUAAAGAGGCCGUUAUCGUCAAUGGGCUUGAUCUUGGUUCCACGUUCAGAGUUUGACAAAACAGGUCUGUUAAUAGUUAAAUUG
Lepisosteus oculatus (spotted gar) is the source of this 431-nucleotide long non-coding RNA. RefSeq lists it as uncharacterized. NCBI's taxonomy places the organism in Eukaryota, Metazoa, Chordata, Actinopteri, Semionotiformes, Lepisosteidae. The record is from RefSeq and is a predicted model, not a curated record.